Olea europaea var. sylvestris is the source of this 1281-nucleotide long non-coding RNA. RefSeq lists it as uncharacterized. NCBI's taxonomy places the organism in Eukaryota, Viridiplantae, Streptophyta, Magnoliopsida, Lamiales, Oleaceae. The record is from RefSeq and is a predicted model, not a curated record. The transcript has 6 exons.
UUGUGGUACAGGCAAGCUAAGUUCUUCCUGAUAAGAAUCCAAAUGAUCCUCAGGUGGCUGAAAAAUUUCAGGCAAUUCUAUUUACUUCUUAUCUUUAUCCAAUCGUCUGGAAUUGGGCGAAGCAUAUCAAGUUUUGAGCGAUCCAGUGCAAAGAGAUGCGAAUGAUCGAAAUGGAAAGCAUUGCAUAUCUAAGUCAGUCCAUCCAUGCCUCAGGAAACAAUGCUCGAUCAGUCGAUCCCACUAUGGUUCUUUCUCUUCAUUUUUGGAAGUGAACUUUUUGAAGACUACAUCGGACAUUUAGCCGUGGCAUCAAUGGCUUCUACUGAAUUAGCUGUUGAAAGAAACUUGGAUUAAAUGUCAAGUUAUUCGCUUUUACUAGAAAUUAGGCAUAAUAACGUUUUAUUUUUCAUGAAUCCUUCUUUGUCACCUCGAAUAUAGCGGUAUAGAAAAUCUUUUAGUUUCCUAGCAAGCUUUUCUUCCCUUUCUCUUUGAACAGCCUUCAUUAGAUUGCAUUACAUUAAUUGAAGAUAUCUGCAAUUCAUUUCCUCCAGUAUUCAAGUUUUCCUUUUUCCUUUUUUUGGCUAAGUUGAUCGAAUAAUCAACCCCAGGUUCUUUUCAGUUGCUUCAACUUCAGGAAGACGUCAGACGCCAAUUCAGGAUCGAUGGUAGUGGCCCGAAAUUGACGUCGAAUCACAUCUGAGACUAAGCAAAGACACACUGAUGAAUUCACUAUGGAAACUGAAUGUGGUAGACAUUGAAGUAACUCUAUUCAUGUGUGACAAAUGGUUCUACAAGAAAACAACGUAAGGAAGGAAGAAAUCAAAAUGCGUGCAGUGGCUUUAAGAAUUCCAGGAAAAGAAUUUCAGAAUGGUGCUUGUGCAUUCGCUGUAAAUAGUAUACACAAAAUGCUUGAACAUUGAAAAGACGAACAUUUUAAAAGAUUCUGAUGAAAGUAGCGAUCAAGAGGAUCCGCCGAGAACAUAAAUUGUCGAGCUCCUUUCGUCACCCAGGGCAUAAAUAGGCUCUUCAGGUGUCUCUGUAACCCAGCAUUUGAUGUAGAUGAUGAAGAAAUUGUCUACAAAAGAAGAUGAGUAUAUGAACAUCAUUUCUAAGAUCCGGAUAAGUGUGAUUUUAUUGGCACUUGGAUAAAAUGCGUUAAAUGUCUAAAAAAUAAAUAAAUAAAAUUGGAAAGCCACAUUGCAUUCAGUUUAGCAAAAUCUUUGUUUUUCUACCAACAAAUAGAUCUCAAUUCAAUCAUAAAUUCUCUAUUAUGUUUUUUCU